Molecule: long non-coding RNA, 5375 nt
Organism: Oncorhynchus kisutch (coho salmon)
Lineage: Eukaryota; Metazoa; Chordata; Actinopteri; Salmoniformes; Salmonidae
Exons: 6
Source: RefSeq, a predicted model, not a curated record
GAGGCUGACUUUGUGUAUGUUUACGAGUGUUAGUGUCUGAGUUUCGUCGAGAUGCGGCGGAUCUGCAUGGAGGAAUAGAGUACUGUACGUAUAAUGAGACAUACUCUGAAAGUAUAAAUUCGAUUUUUGCUGGGCGUCAGUUGAACAUUAUUUCACGUGUACGUUUCGCGCACAUAGAAAUCACAUGUUCAGACCGUUAACGUUAAUUUAGCAAGCAGACUGACCAAAGGAACACAUGUUCACCAAAGGGAAGAGUGCAGACUGGCCAAAGCUAGCUCGAAUCAUUUGCUUUUCACUCCACUGUUGUAGCAUUAGAUAGCUAGCAUGCAUGGUUGAUUGUCUAGCAGUCCACAAAGAAAAUAUUUGAAUAUUUCCCUAGGUAGAUAUCUCUGAAAUGGUGCGGUCAAGUUUAGAGCAAAUUCAUCUGGGACCUCAUCUGGCACUGCUUCAAGCGUUUCAUCUGGCACUGCUUCAAGCGUUUCAUCUGGCGCUGCGUCUAGCGUUUCAUCUGGCGCUGCGUCUAGCGUUUCGUCUGGCACUUCAAGGGGUUGAGUAGCCUACAACAUGUUGAUGAAAUACACAACUACUGUCCCAAGCAGGAUUGGUAAAGAGCACCUCCAGGCAGUGGGGUUGGGUGAGAGGCACCAGAACUUUCCAGGUAAUCAAGAAAGUUCACAAGUUCAUUUUAACUUUGUUUCCAAAGUUGAGAGACGAGGGCGGGUUCUGGAAUUUCUGGAACUACACAGAGCCAUCAUCCUAUACCUGUCCCAUGCCCCAAUCGGGGCUACAGUUUGAGAUAUCUGAAAGACCCUUGUGUCGUGCUACUCUACAUUCGCCCACUGUAAAGGAAUUUGCGUAUGUAGCAUGAACUGAAUGAUUCAGUUGUUGCUCAAAGUGGAUCAUUGACACAAUGCCUAAACUGUGAAGAACAACUUUACUUUGCACAAAUAAGAAGGCACAGUGAAGCCUGCUCCAGGUUCAUCAGAGGUCCUGAAGAAUUUGUCAGAGGUCCUGAAGAAUUUGUCAGAGGUGCUGAAGAAUUUGUCAGAGGUGCUGAAGAAUUUGUCAGAGGUGCUGAAGAAUUUGUCAGAGGUGCUGAAGAAUUUGUCAGAGGUGCUGAAGAAUUUGUCAGAGGUGCUGAAGAAUUUGUCAGAGGUGCUGAAGAAUUUGUCAGAGGUGCUGAAGAAUUUGUCAGAGGUGCUGAAGAGUGCUUUUUUUUCUUUCUUUUUUUACCCUGAAGCUGUCAAAAAAUACUAUGACAUAUGAGGAUUUUGAAAAUGAUCUGAUGGCAAGCAUCUCCUCAUCCUACUCUUGGUUUGGUCCGUUUUGAUUCAAAGCCCUGCAGGAAGACACGAUGUUCACAUCAGCUCAAAAGUUUUAUACCGCUUUUUAUUGUUAUUUGAUAUACUUUAGUAAACCGUGAUACAGACACUGAUAAAGUGGCUUACAUUUUACAUUCUAAUGGUAAUGGUUAACCAAAAAAAUCUAAGCUGUACAAUUUGAAAGAUUAGACAGCUAGAAUGAAGGUAGUGACGGCCUAGGAACAGUGGGUUAACUGCCUGUUCAGAGGCAGAACGACAGAUUUGUUGACCUUGUCAGCUCGGGGAUUUGAACUUGCAACCUUUCGGUUACUAUUCCAACACUCUAAUCACUAGGCUACCCUGCCGCCCCAAUUCCCAAUGGCCUUGCAGGCCGAUGCAUUCUAGAUAGAUCCUAUUGGAGGAGGAACCUGAAGCUGAUGGGCCAGUUCAAUGGCCUACCCUCCAUAUAUACUCCCAUUAUCCCUAUUUAAAAGUCCUGUCUUAAAAGGUUUCCUCAAGGAAGUGCCUAGGCAGUCAAGCAGCAGAAGAGAAAUGUGCCUUUUAGAAGCUCCGAGUAGUUGGCUAAUCCAACUUGAUGGCCACAAACGGAGGAAAAUAAUUGCUGGUUGUAAAUAAAAUAAAAAUUGAAAGGAAUUUCUAGGAAAUGGUGAUAUUAAUGCACUGCCUCAUUUCUAUAUUGGAUAAAGGAAUUAAGUACAUGAGGACAAAUAUUGAGUUGGUAUGUGUUCUGGGUCCCUCUCAAAGAAAUCAAUGCUAAUUGUGACUAACAUCUCCUCUUUAUAGAUGGCAAACUAUUUACUUUUGAAGCCAGGUGGGGUUUUCCAACUGUGGGAAACAUGCUGUAUUAGGGAAUAUUGUGUGGUAUAUCAGAAUUCCCAUGCACUUGUUCUAUGCCUGGCUGCACUACAAGGUGAACUGUAAGGCAAGUUACCCUCAAACUGUACAAGAGACUGAAAAAACUGAUGCUUCAUCUGAUGUUUGAAUAUUUUUGAUAUAUCUACAACAUAUCCACUCUAUAUGACUGUAUUUACCCUGAAAUGUGUUUUCCACCACACUGAGGAAGAAGGUGUCUCAACUGGCCAAUCAACGUUAGGGGUGCCCUUGACAAACGAGGCCCAUCGCUCCUCCAGUUUAACUUGACCUUCACAUGCCUGCCGCUUUGCUGGAUCCAUUUUGCGCUCGUUUUCUGCAAUAAAGCGCCUGAUGUAUAUUAACCAACAUUGGUGUUCAUAAGGUCCAGAGUCUGAAAGGCCUGAUAAAGACAAAUACCUCCACUUUUACACCAGGUGAGGGGUUUCUUUAUUGCUGUGAACUGGGUCUGAGAGGAGCAGGACACCAGAGGCAAUGAAGUGAAAACAAAUAGAUUCUGAAAAAAUUCUAAAGUGUACAGGGUUCAGUGCAGGGGCAUCCCAACUGCAUGAGUGCACUCUGGGCUUGUAAAAUUCAACUGAACAGGUCAAAUACUGUUUUGAGUAAUUAACGCAGAGGCCAGGGGAAAUCUGGGUGGCCUAAAUGCUAAAAACCAGCCAGAGUCUUAAAUGUAGCAUGCCCAUGGGUAAGGGGCCAGAUCCAAGCCAAAGCAAUGUUAGGAAUUCAAACGGGCAUCUUUCUGCCUUGUUAUGUCUCACUUCCUUAGAAAAACAUUGGAAUUUGUCAUGUUUCUGCGUAAUUACUGAGUUACCUCAGACAGCCUGUCUGUUGAAUUUAACUAGACGUUUUAGGAAGGACAAGCCCUUCUGAAUAAACAACAAAUUAUGACUGUGUGCACUCCGCAGUUAGGAAGUCUUCUCUGCCUUGUACUGUAAGAUAUGGAAUUUAUAGCUCUAAAGCUGUAUAAAUGUUCAAACAGUGUGGGACAGAGUGAUAAGGCUUUACUCUUAUUUCUCAGCCCUCUGCCUUUUCUUAUAUUGAAAUAUGCUCCAAGGCCUUUGGCACAGUUCAUUAAUACAGUAAGAUCCAGUAUAUCAUGAAUCUAUUAUUUGGGGACGUUGAGAAUAUGUGACUGCAGGUCAUUUACAGUGAACUGUUAAUUCAGCACCCAGUAGACAGUGUUUCCUGUCACACACAGUGAUGAACAUGUGAGCUGUGCCUCAAGACCUCCCCGGUGUUAGAAAUCUGACAGUAGAUGGGCAGUGCAGCCGUUUGACCCCUGAACUUUCCUGAUGAGAGGGCGGUGUUUCAAGGUGAUAAGGGCUUUAGCCCAGGGAAUCCUGACACUGAAUAAACCUGAUGUAGUGUAUUGUAACAGAAGCCAGAUUUGGGGUCGCUCCACUUGCACUUCCACUAACACCUUAUAUCAAACUUCCCUCGGAGUCCAAACAUUUAAGGAAGAAAAUUAUACAGUCUAGUGAAAAGGGAGAGGCCCAUUUACACAUAUUAGUGUGCCCUACCAAGGUGACUGGCUUCAGUUGGUCUUGAUAGGGUUUGUAGCACCUGAUCCUGUUUGAGGCCCCCGCUCACGUUCCAUCCCUUGCACAUCCCUUGAUGUGAUGUCCUCGUUCCGUGGCCUGGCUCAAAUUGAAAUCAUAAGUUGCUCCAGAGGCCGUUGCCUCUGUGUUCUGGGGGUCUGUGGAGAGCAGGCUGUGUCGGCAAGCCUUUCCACACUGUUGCAGUGUUCGCCCCAGAUUAUUACAGCAUAGAUAGCACUGAGGAAUAGAAGGACUACAAUGGUCAUUACGGUGCGUGAUAUGGUGAGGGUGGUAUUUUGAGUUUGCUUGUCUCAGGAGGGGCAUGAUUGAUAGUUAGACAUACAUCACCAGAAAUAAACGUUUUCAUAUAUUCUUUAAACAGUCGUGAAGAAGACAUUCAGCUGAAGUUGAAGUGACACUUUUUGUUCUACUCUUUAGUUGAACUGCUCACUAGUGUAAAGACAGCAGCAUGUCUUAUUAUUGACUGUUUCUCACUGCAGUUUUACUGAGACAGUCAAUGAGGACAGGGCAAACUACAAAUUCAAAUUAAAGAAUAGAAUUGAGCGGUUAUUGAACACCCUUUCUGAAGGCUCCACAAGUAAGCAUCAUUAAUGUUUGUUUACCAUGCUUCCUGGUGUACUUUGGGAUUAAAUCUGAUUUUUAAAGGCAAACUCAAAAUUUGUGAUGACAGUUUAUUUCACAGAACAGCACUAAAGUAAAGCACUUCGGCAAAUGAAUACACCCUAGACAAGUUGUCAGACAAUCGAUGAGGGAUUUUACGUCACAUUCGCUCAUUCUUUUGGGAGGUAAAAUGCUUUGGAACUAAAUCAGCCAUAUACAGGACAUUUUACAGUGUACCAUCUUGACUCACUGUUCAGCUUAUAGUUUCUUAUUACAGUGUUUUGCUUGUUGCAUGAUGAGUUUGAAUGAGUGGAGCUCAAUUGUUCAAAUUGCCAUCAAUUUGUAAAUAACCUUCUUUAGCUAAAGCCAACUCAUUUAAUGUCAGAAAUCACAGCUUGUUUGUAUCAUAAUAGAUGGCACUUGUCUUAUCAGUCAAUUGCAUGUUAUUUGCAGACAAUUGCACCUUGCGAUGGGGACUCCCAGACUCUGACCUGCCCUCAGUGUGAAUGACUCAGUGAGAACAGCCAAAACAGCUCAAACAGCAUUUGCUGUUACAUAGAAACUAUCAGCAUUUGAAAUUCUCUUGGAGAUAGUUUGACCAAUACAAAUACUGAAAUCAAUUCAAUUCUCAGACCCAGGCUUUUAAACAUCUCCAAUUAUAUCUGAUAAUAUGGCAACUGUCUCACUAUAGACAUUUAAGACGCUGGAAAAAGAACCUUGAGCAUCUGGCAAUGUUUGCACUUCCAUGUCAGUCAAUGGCCGUGGAAGCUGAACCUCAGGGACUGUGACUCCUUCAAGAUGGUGACCAUAAGGACCUCCCCCGUCAAGGCUGUAUUCCAUGUCAACCUAAUGUGAGAUCAACAGUAAAAUAUGAGCAUGUCUAUUCUAUGCAAAUAAUAAAGGAAUGGGAAUCACAAUUGAACAAGGUCAUUUGGGAAUACAGUGUUUGUUUGCAGUGUAAAAAAAAUACCACAGGUAGUUGCAAUUUAUCUCUAAUCAUGUUAAAUAAAAUGUGGUAAAAUAA